RNAcentral lists this ribosomal RNA (253 nucleotides) under uncultured bacterium. RNAcentral describes it as "partial 16S ribosomal RNA". It matches the Rfam family "Bacterial small subunit ribosomal RNA", at positions 524 to 776 of the family's 1533-position model. The record is from RNAcentral.
UACAGGGGGGGCAAGCGUUGUUCGGAAUUACUGGGCGUAAAGGGCUCGUAGGCGGCCAACUAAGUCACACGUGAAAUCCCCAGGCUUAACCUGGGAACUGCGUGUGAUACUGGAUGGCUUGAAUUCGGGAGAGGGAUGCAGAAUUCCAGGUGUAGCGGUGAAAUGCGUAGAUAUGCGGAGGAACACCGAUGGCGAAGGCAAUCCCCUGGACCUGUACUGACGCUCAUGCACGAAAGCGUGGGGAGCAAACAGG